RNAcentral lists this ribosomal RNA (419 nucleotides) under uncultured bacterium. RNAcentral describes it as "bacterial SSU rRNA". It matches the Rfam family "Bacterial small subunit ribosomal RNA", at positions 358 to 773 of the family's 1533-position model. The record is from RNAcentral.
GGAAUAUUGGACAAUGGGCGCAAGCCUGAUCCAGCCAUCCCGCGUGCAGGAAGAAGGCCCUAUGGGUUGUAAACUGCGUUUGUCAGGGAAUAAACCUCCGGAUUCACUCUGGAGCUGAAGGUACCUGAAGAAUAAGCACCGGCUAACUCCGUGACAGCAGCCGCGGUAAUACGGAGGGUGCAAGCGUUAUCCGGAAUCACUGGGUUUAAAGGGUGCGUAGGUGGCAUUGUAAGUCAGAAGUGAAAGUUUGCGGCUUAACCGUAAAAUUGCUUUUGAUACUGUGAUGCUUGAAUCAGGUUGAGGUUGGCGGAAUGUAGCAUGUAGCGGUGAAAUGCUUAGAUAUGCCAUAGAACACCGAUUGCGAAGGCAGCUGACUGGACCUGUAUUGACGCUGAGGCACGAAAGCGUGGGGAGCGAAC